GUUAUUAAUUUUUGGUGGCCUAGAAAAUUCAAAAUUGGGAUUCCUAGGCCACCAACUUUAAGUGCUUAUAACUUGGCUCAAA
Caenorhabditis elegans is the source of this 82-nucleotide non-coding RNA. Lineage: Eukaryota; Metazoa; Nematoda; Chromadorea; Rhabditida; Rhabditidae. The record is from Ensembl.